GCCGGGGUGGCGGAAAUGGCAGACGCGCUGGGUUCAGGACUCAGUCCGCUUCGGCGGGUAGGGGUUCAACUCCCCUCCCCGGCA
This 84-nucleotide transfer RNA is filed under the name Candidatus Stahliibacteriota bacterium. Its description in RNAcentral is "tRNA-Leu". It matches the Rfam family "tRNA". From Rfam's summary of the family: Transfer RNA (tRNA) molecules are approximately 80 nucleotides in length. Their secondary structure includes four short double-helical elements and three loops (D, anti-codon, and T loops). The record is from RNAcentral. Lineage: Bacteria; Candidatus Stahliibacteriota.